UUAGCGAGAGGAAGGUGGGAAUCCUUCCGGCCGAAUAUCUAAGGUUUCCAGAGUAAAGCUGAUCUGCUCUGGGUAAGUCGGGGCCUAAGGCGAGGUCGAAAGACGUAGUCGAUGGAUAACAGGUUGAAAUUCCUGUACUAUCCUGUAACAGAACUGUGGGGACACAGGCAGAGAGCGUGAGCCGGGAAUGGAAAGACCGGUACAAGCGAGGUAGGAGAAGAGUUGGCAAAUCCGCUCUUUAAUCUGAAGACGUGAUGUGGACUGAGAAUAAGUAGGGAAGCACGUGAGCUGACUGUCAAGAAAAGCCGCUAUUGUUUGCAGGAUACCCGUACCGUAAACCGACACAGGUGGAUGAGGAGAGAAUCCUAAGGCCGACGGGACAAGCAUUGUUAAGGAACUCGGCAAAAUGACUCCGUAACUUCGGGAGAAGGAGUGCCAGUAAGAUGGCCGCAGAGAAUUGGCCCAAGCAACUGUUUAGCAAAAACACAGGUCUAUGCAAAACCGAAAGGUGAGGUAUAUGGGCUGACGCCUGCCCGGUGCUGGAAGGUUAAGGGGAGAGGUUAGCGCAAGCGAAGCUUUGAACUUAAGCCCCAGUAAACGGCGGCCGAAACAAUAACGGUCCUAAGGUAGCGAAAUUCCUUGUCGGGUAAGUUCCGACCCGCACGAAAGGCGUAAUGAUUUGGGCACUGUCUCAACAAUGCACCCGGUGAAAUUGAAAUACCAGUGAAGAUGCUGGUUACCUGCGCCAGGACGGAAAGACCCCAUGGAGCUUUACUCCAGCUUGAUACUGGGAUUCGGUAUUGCAUGUACAGGAUAGGUGGGAGGCUAGGAAAUGGUAACGCCAGUUGCCAUGGAGCCAAUGUUGGGAUACCACCCUUGCAGUACUGGGUUUCUAACCAGCAGCCGUGAUCCGGCUGGGGGACAAUGUCAGGUGGGGAGUUUGACUGGGGCGGUCGCCUCCGAAAGGGUAUCGGAGGCGCUCAAAGGUUCCCUCAGAAUGGUUGGAAACCAUUCGAAGAGUGCAAAGGCAGAAGGGAGCUUGACUGCGACACCGACGGGUGGAGCAGGUACGAAAGUAGGACUUAGUGAUCCGGUGGUAUAAAGUGGGAUUGCCAUCGCUCAACGGAUAAAAGCUACCCUGGGAUAACAGGCUUAUCACUCCCAAGAGUUCACAUCGACGGAGUGGUUUGGCACCUCGAUGUCGGCUCAUCGCAUCCUGGGGCUGAAGUAGGUCCCAAGGGUUGGGCUGUUCGCCCAUUAAAGCGGUACGCGAGCUGGGUUCAGAACGUCGUGAGACAGUUCGGUCCCUAUCCGGCGUGGGCGUAAGAUAUUUGAGAGGAGCUGUCCUUAGUACGAGAGGACCGGGAUGGACUGGCCGCUGGUGUAUCUGUUGUCUUACCAAAAGCAUAGCAGAGUAGCCAAGCCGGGAAGGGAUAAACGCUGAAGGCAUCUAAGCGUGAAGCCCCCCUCAAGAUGAGAUAUCUCAUAACGUCAAGUUAGUAAGACCCCUUGAAGACGACGAGGUAGAUAGGGCAGAGGUGGAAGUGUGGUAACACAUGGAGCUGACUGUUACUAAUAGGUCGAGGGCAUAACCG
This 1595-nucleotide ribosomal RNA is filed under the name metagenome. RNAcentral's name for it is "bacterial LSU rRNA". It matches the Rfam family "Bacterial large subunit ribosomal RNA", at positions 1306 to 2925 of the family's 2925-position model. The record is from RNAcentral.